This 454-nucleotide ribosomal RNA is filed under the name uncultured bacterium. RNAcentral describes it as "bacterial SSU rRNA". It matches the Rfam family "Bacterial small subunit ribosomal RNA", at positions 330 to 794 of the family's 1533-position model. The record is from RNAcentral.
UCCAGACUCCUACGGGAGGCAGCAGUAGGGAAUUUUCGGCAAUGGGGGGAACCCUGACCGAGCAACGCCGCGUGAACGAAGAAGUUAUUCGUAAUGUAAAGUUCUUUUAUCAGGGAAGAAAGAGGAAUUUGACGGUACCUGAGGAAUAAGCUCCGGCUAACUACGUGCCAGCAGCCGCGGUAAUACGUAGGUGGCAAGCGUUGUCCGGAUUUACUGGGUGUAAAGGGCGUGCAGCCGGGCCGACAAGUCAGAUGUGAAAUCCGCGGGCGUAACCCGCGAACUGCAUUUGAAACUAUUGGUCUUGAGUACCGGAGAGGUCAUCGGAAUUCCUUGUGUAGCGGUGAAAUGCGUAGAUAUAAGGAAGAACACCAGUGGCGAAGGCGGAUGACUGGACGGCAACUGACGGUGAGGCGCGAAAGCGUGGGGAGCAAACAGGAUUAGAUACCCCCGUAAA